GAUGAACGCUAGCGGCAGGCUUAAUACAUGCAAGUUGAGGGGCAGCAUGAUAUACGCGAGUAUAUUGAUGGCGACCGGCGGACGGGUGAGUAAUAGGUAGGAGACCUACCUCAUACAGGGGGAUAGCAUAGAGAAAUCUGUGGUAAUACCCCAUGAGGUUAUAUGAAUAGAGGCAUAUAAUCAAAGCAUAAGCGAUUAUGCGGUAUGAGAGGGGCCUACUGACCAUUAGCUAGUUGGUGAGGUAAGGGCUCACCAAAGGCGAAAGAUGGUUAGGGGGUUUUGAGGAGAGAGACCCCCCCACAUUUGGAACUUGAGAGACGGUCCAGACUCCUACGGGAGGCAGCAGUAGGGAAUAUUGGGCAAUGGGCGAAAGCCUGACCCAGCCAUGCCGCGUGAAGGAAGACGGCCUUAUGGGGUUUGUAAAACUUUCUUUAACUACGCGAAUAGAGGUUAGUACGAGAUACUAAUAGGAAGGUAGUGUAGUAAAAAGCAACCGGCUAAACUCCGUGCCC
This 512-nucleotide ribosomal RNA is filed under the name uncultured bacterium. RNAcentral's name for it is "bacterial SSU rRNA". It matches the Rfam family "Bacterial small subunit ribosomal RNA", at positions 28 to 510 of the family's 1533-position model. The record is from RNAcentral.